CUCUGCCUCCCCCAUCCCAUUCCUUGUUGUCCCAUUAAUAGCAAGAAAGAGAGCCCAAAUUAUUUCACAAAGCGAUUCUUCUGGUUGGAGAAGUAACACUCGAUGUGGAGAGUAAGACUCGUAGAUACAGAAAGAAGUCCGCAUUACCUUUUGACAUUUAAAGAGUUAAUUACCCAGGAUUUCCUCCUAGCUAUAGAUUUCCCCAGCAUUUAAUGCAUUUAAAUACUCUGCUUAUUUGACUAAGAAAAUUUUAGUUUUUUAUCUGCUGUAACUAAGGUACCUAUAUCAAUACAACUGUAUACUUGCCCCAGGACAAUCCCUUCUGCCCCUAUUAUAAUCCUUUUGGGACAUGCCUCCGGAGUAUGAAGUAGCAGUCACUCCGCAAGCAUGAAGGUGAAAAGCCACAUUUGCAUCACUCAAGAGUUUUCCCAUCAUGUCUACCAACCCCUUGAAGAUAGCUUCGAGAAAUGAAGAAGUCGUGUCAUCUGCAUUUCUGUUGUUACUAAAAAUGAAGAAGAGUUAAUUAAUGGGACUGGGCAAAAAGUAGAGCAAGCUCAUUUGCUGAGAUUACAAUCAGUAAGGUUUGAAGAUUUCCAAAAUAAAAAGUUGGAAGGAACUUGUAUAAAUGCAUGGAAAAGCUAUUCCUCUGAACAACAGGCUUCAAGCGUGGUGCUGACUGUCUCACAGUGAGAACCCCAUCGAGCAGUUGCCAUGAGAGCUUAGCUGAGUUGAGCAGCCUGGGGAGUAAGUUCAUAAACUGAGGAAUUCAUUUAUCUUCCACAGUAACACCCCCUCCAAAACCAACUACAAACUACUUAACCCAUCAAAACUGAGAGCUGCCAAAGCCACUUUCCUCCUGGGACUGUAAAUGCCUUCACAGUCAAAGUCACAAAGCUUUUCAAGCUGGUGCACUGGUGAUUGGUUUAAACUGCUAAAACUCUGAUUAUCUUUAGAUUCCAAUUUCUCAUUUAAAAUCACUAGUCAUUCUAGAUACAUGAUGAUUAAAAAAAUUGAAACUGAAGAUAAAAAAUAAAUGAGGAGUCACAUUACCAUCUUGUUCAUGUCUCAGGAGCUUCAGACUUACGGCAGUAACAUUGCCAUCUACCUUCUAUUUCCACAGGCUCUCAGAGUGGAUAUUAAGUUUUAUAAUCAAAACAAAUGUUUUACUUGAACAGGAAUCCAGGGGUUUAACAAACUCUAGAAAUGCUAAUGUGAAUGACCUGCUACAUUAACGUAGGUAAGAAUUCCUCUGCCUUUAUUGCCAUUCUGAAGCAUGCUAAACAACAUGAAGAAGGUUGGAAUAAUGCAUUUUUUACUUCUCUCGCCAUGUGUUUGGAGUCUUAAAUCACUGGUGAUUGGUUUUCAUUCAUUCAUUUGUUGACAUCUUUAUUCAGUCAGUCAUAAACAUUUACUGUUAGCUAAGAUACAGGUGCAAAAGUAUUGAUUACAAAGUGUUUAAUAAUAUCAAAAUCUAGAAAGAAACUAAAUAUUACUCUAUACAGAGUGAAUGAAGUAAAUCACAGUCCAUCCUAGCCUGUAGCAGCUAAAAGAUAUGAGGUAAAAUUAUAUGUCUUUUCAUGGAGAAAUGUGAUUGUUAUAUGACUGGGGGCCCAGGAAGGAACAGAUUUUAGAAUGACAUUUCUAGUGUGAUUUUUAAAUUAAAUUGUGUAUGUGUGGAUAUGUAUAUUCCUAUAAGAGUCUAGAAAAUAUAUGCUACCUUGUUAACGGUGAUCAUCUCUGGGGUAUUACUGAGUGAAAUGGUUUUGUAUCAUUUGAUUUUCUUACAACAGAUAAUCUAUCUCUUUACUACAGAGUUGCAUUUACUUGUUAUGUGAGCCCAUGAAAGAAUUAUACCAGGACCCCUUGUGGUUGGGUGGCACCAUGUGAUUGGUUCUGUCUAAAGAGUUAUGAGCAAAAAUGGCAUGUGUCACUUCCAGGCUGGAAUGUUUAAUUGCUGGUGCAGGAUCCUCCUGAGCUCUUUUCUUUUGACACAAACCCUUGAGAUGGUGGCUCAAGUUUGAGAUAGCGGCUGCUCCAUCAGCCUAGAUUCGGAAAUGAGAUGUGGAUCGGAGCUCUCAGCCAAUCCCCAGUGGACACUUAAUUAGAG
Molecule: long non-coding RNA, 2107 nt
Filed under: Homo sapiens (human)
Lineage: Eukaryota; Metazoa; Chordata; Mammalia; Primates; Hominidae
Description: HSALNT0033053
Source: RNAcentral